GUCCACGCGGUAAACGAUGCCAGCUCGGUGUCUGGGGCCGUUUUUGGCCCUGGGUGCCUUAGCUCACGCGGUAAGCUGGCCGCCUGGGGACUACGAGCGCAAGCUUAAAACUCAAAGGAAUUGACGGGGGCCCGCACAAGCAGCGGAGCGUGUGGUUUAAUUCGACGCAACGCGAAGAACCUUACCCAGGCUUUACAUGCAGCUGCAAACGGCGGAAACGUCGUUGCCUUCGAGGGUGCUGCACAGGUGCUGCAUGGUUGUCGU
This 264-nucleotide ribosomal RNA is filed under the name uncultured bacterium. RNAcentral describes it as "partial 16S ribosomal RNA". It matches the Rfam family "Bacterial small subunit ribosomal RNA", at positions 793 to 1055 of the family's 1533-position model. The record is from RNAcentral.